GUCGAGAAUCUUUCACAAUGGGGGCAACCCUGAUGGAGCGACGCCGCGUGGAGGAUAAGGUCUUCGGAUUGUAAACUCCUGUCAUGCGUGAACAAGGUUGCUUGGUUAAUACCUGGGCAAAUUGAUGGUAACGCAAGAGGAAGAGACGGCUAACUCUGUGCCAGCAGCCGCGGUAAUACAGAGGUCUCAAGCGUUGUUCGGAAUCACUGGGCGUAAAGGGUGCGUAGGUGGCGUGGUAAGUGAGAUGGGAAAGCCCGGGGCUCAACCUCGGAACUGCAUCCGAUACUGCCAUGCUAGAGUACUGGAGAGGUGACUAGAAUUCUCGGUGUAGCAGUGAAAUGCGUAGAUAUCGAGAGGAAUACCAAAGGCGUAGGCAGGUCACUGGACAGUUACUGACACUGAGGCACGAAGGCCAGGGGAGCGAACGGGAUUAGAAACCCGGGUAGUCC
Molecule: ribosomal RNA, 449 nt
Filed under: uncultured bacterium
Lineage: Bacteria
Description: partial 16S ribosomal RNA
Rfam family: Bacterial small subunit ribosomal RNA
Source: RNAcentral